Molecule: ribosomal RNA, 253 nt
Filed under: uncultured bacterium
Lineage: Bacteria
Description: partial 16S ribosomal RNA
Rfam family: Bacterial small subunit ribosomal RNA
Source: RNAcentral
UACGGAGGAUGCAAGCGUUAUCCGGAAUCAUUGGGCGUAAAGCGUCCGCAGGUGGCCUAUCAAGUCUGCUGUCAAAGAGUGGAGCUCAACUCCAUAAAGGCAGUGGAAACUGGUAAGCUAGAGUUCGGUAGGGGUAGCAGGAAUUCCCAGUGUAGCGGUGAAAUGCGUAGAGAUUGGGAAGAACAUCGGUGGCGAAGGCGUGCUACUGGGCCGAAACUGACACUCAGGGACGAAAGCUAGGGGAGCGAAAGGG